Oncorhynchus gorbuscha (pink salmon) is the source of this 1608-nucleotide long non-coding RNA. RefSeq lists it as uncharacterized. The transcript is spliced from 3 exons. Lineage: Eukaryota; Metazoa; Chordata; Actinopteri; Salmoniformes; Salmonidae. The record is from RefSeq and is a predicted model, not a curated record.
ACUCCCCCAAGCUGGUGCGCUACAUCCAUGACCGGGGACUGAAGCUGGUUGUCUACUGGGACAUGGGCACACGCACACACGUGUGGGGUUGACCCUGGUACCCCCUUGGACAAGAUCACUAUAGAUGCUCAGACUUUUGAUGACUGGAAAGUGGACAUGCUGAAGUUUGAUGGCUGUUACCCCAACGCUACAGAGCAGGAGCAGGGCUCUGAAAUCUACCAGGCACCUCAUUGGUUACUGCUGCAGUUGGCCCGCCUACCAGGGUGGACUCCUUCCCUAGGCGAACUACAACCAGCUAGAAGAGAUCUACAACCUGUGGCGUAACUAUGGCAACAUAAAGGACUCAUGGGCUUAUUGUGCUGAGCAUCACUGAUUGGUUCUUCAACAAGCAAGAUGUCCCUACAGCCUAUUUUCUCUCUCUCUCUCCACACCAUAGACACAUGUUGGUGUGAGAGUGGUGAAAGGGUUUGCUGUCCCUUUUUUGCUUAUUUCUGUCUUUCUAUAUAUAUUUUAUUGGGUAGGUAGGUUAAGUGAUAUAUUUUAGUGGUUGUCAUGGUUGUCGUGAUGGAGACCAGGCAGUGAAUUAUCCGGUUUAGGUAGGUAUAAUAACUCUUCAAUCAGACAAUUAACAUGGAGUCCACCGAGCUACUGGUCCUCAUUGCUAGUGUCGUAACGUGACUUAUUUAUUAAAUGUGAAUACUGUUGUAUUAUCAAAUCAAUUCUCUAUCUAUAAUUAUUCUGUGAUUAAAUUAAUCACAGAAUAGUAAUUAACUAGGAAGUUGGGGCACCAUCGGAAAAUGUUGUUUAUAGAGUUACAAUUUCCCAAAUAUAACUCUUCAGAUAUUUUAUUAUCUUAUCGAUUACAGUCUUCUAUUAAUGUAUUAUUACCUCAUCAGUCUCAUUCCUGAAUGUCGCAAACCCUUGGAUAUCUGCACGAAUCCUGACAUAAAUCAUGAAUCAGAGAUAUACAAAUUGGCUUAAUUAUUUAUUUACUAAGUAACAAAUCAAUUACAUGAAUACACCUAGAGUAGGUCAUACAUUGUUUACUAACAUGUGGCAAAGAAAAGUCCCUAGUGGACGAAACCGAUAUGAUGGCUUGGUAGACAAAGGAAAGGGGUGGGGACAGCUCAAGAGGGGUAAAUUCAAAUUUUAUAACGAUACUCAUGGAAAAGCUAAUACUUUGAACAUGAGCAACCACUCAUUCGAAAAUAAAUGGCAAUUUACAUAUUUACUAUUGUAUGCCUUUGUUGUCCCUCUCUGCGAACACCGGUCCGUCUACUGGAUAGAUUGUAAAGUCUCUGGUUCGUCCACCAGAGAUCAAAGUCUUUCGUAGUUGUCGUUUUCUCAGCUGGCUCUGGAUAGUGUCUGUUGUAAUGGAUACGUCAGACGUACUAUUCGGUCGUUCGACCGGUAGCGUUUACCAGACUAAAGUACAGCUGCAGCCUGAAUAAUUGUUCUUUAGUUUGUAGAUUUCUUAGCCAUUUCAACGUAGAAAUGAUCUCUAUGUUCUCUGGUCUUGUCCUUCGGAGUUGCUAACCAUUUCAACAUGUAACGACAGCUUCCAUGUUUUCUGGUCUACUGUCAAUUUAUACAACAUUCAGAUGCAAA